Molecule: long non-coding RNA, 385 nt
Organism: Gambusia affinis (western mosquitofish)
Lineage: Eukaryota; Metazoa; Chordata; Actinopteri; Cyprinodontiformes; Poeciliidae
Exons: 3
Source: RefSeq, a predicted model, not a curated record
CUGCUCCCAAACACAGAAGGUUUCCUGCUGCAGCAGCUUCCCCUGAGACGUCAGCUUCCCCUGGAGAACACCAGCAGGCAGUCAGAGGAAAAACCAGCUACAUUCAGCAUGCACCUCUGCCUCGCCGCAUGCUUCCUCAUCAGUCCAUCCAGAGGGAAUGGAGGAGCAGAAACAGCAGAACCAGCCGGACUCUGGGCUCAGUGGAACUGGUGAGGCGCUGGCAUGUGGAGGCAGAGGCAGUCCCCCAGGGGGCGUGGCCACAAGAUGUCCUGGAUGUUUCCGAACACAACGUCGUCCUUGUUGGUGAGUCCAGGUGGGAUUUCCUCCGAGCCGCUGGUCAUCUCCCACAGGUACGUCUGCAAUGGCAAAACGAGUCACUUCAGCU